Long non-coding RNA from Capsicum annuum, 842 nucleotides. RefSeq lists it as uncharacterized. The record is from RefSeq and is a predicted model, not a curated record. The transcript has 2 exons. NCBI's taxonomy places the organism in Eukaryota, Viridiplantae, Streptophyta, Magnoliopsida, Solanales, Solanaceae.
GAGAGGGGGACUUUCCAUUAUUUUAAGAAAAAAAAGGAAAAAAAAGCAGAGGACAUCCAUGGCCUCCAUUUUUUUUCUCAAGCACCCACGCACUAAAUCCUUUCUCUUGGACACGAAAUUGAGCACACACUCACUCUCAUAAUAAGACCCAAAUCAUCAUCCGCACUCUGUUCAAACCCCUUCCCAAAUUCUUUGUUUGCUUGAUUUCUUCUUGAAGUAAAACAGUAAAGUCAGCUAAAUCGAACAUAUGUCGUCGUCUUCCGUCACCGGAGCUCCAGUCGUAGGUUUACUCUUUUGUGUUUUCUUAGCAAUUUGGGUCUUGUUGGCCCCCUCUUCUCAACGGAUUUCCUAUUCGGUUUGGAUUUCGAGGGUCUCGCGUUUGAUUCUACGUUUUUCAUUACAAUUUAUAUUUUGGAUAUUCUGUUCAUUCCUAACUGGUUUGGAAUUCGGAUCGGUCCGAGCAGCGGGUCUUUGACCGCGAGUUGGAUCAGCCAUUGUUGAGGUUUAUUCUUCUUCCAUGAGUUCAGUUGAUGACGUGGUUUCAUGGUUUUUUGAAUGUGCGUGAAUCCUUGUAAUUGGUGUGGUUUGAUUCAUUGACUUUUAUAUUGAAAUUAAUUAAUGGUUUGGUCGAAGGGAUUGUAUUUAUUCAUCGGGGAAUGCCCGAAGUAUCAUGUACUUGAAGACGGCGCACGGUCAAGGCCCGGAACGUCGGGUGGAUUUCAGUUCAGGAGUAGUUUACGAUUAGUUUAGAAUAGAAUAGGUUUAUAUUUUCGCAUUUUUCAUUUUUCGGGACUGUAUAAUUGGACUUGACACUAAAUUUUGGAUUGUUUCAUCUUGUUUGC